This 486-nucleotide ribosomal RNA is filed under the name Ilyonectria destructans. RNAcentral describes it as "eukaryotic LSU rRNA". The stretch from base 117 to 270 matches the Rfam family "5.8S ribosomal RNA". Lineage: Eukaryota; Fungi; Ascomycota; Sordariomycetes; Hypocreales; Nectriaceae. The record is from RNAcentral.
AACCCCUGUGAACAUACCAUUUGUUGCCUCGGCGGUGCCUGCUUCGGCAGCCCGCCAGAGGACCCAAACCCUUGAUUUUAUACAGUAUCUUCUGAGUAAAUGAUUAAAUAAAUCAAAACUUUCAACAACGGAUCUCUUGGUUCUGGCAUCGAUGAAGAACGCAGCGAAAUGCGAUAAGUAAUGUGAAUUGCAGAAUUCAGUGAAUCAUCGAAUCUUUGAACGCACAUUGCGCCCGCCAGUAUUCUGGCGGGCAUGCCUGUUCGAGCGUCAUUUCAACCCUCAAGCCCCCGGGCUUGGUGUUGGAGAUCGGCGUGCCCUCCGGGGCGCGCCGGCUCCCAAAUAUAGUGGCGGUCUCGCUGUAGCUUCCUCUGCGUAGUAGCACACCUCGCACUGGAAAACAGCGUGGCCACGCCGUUAAACCCCCCACUUCUGAAAGGUUGACCUCGGAUCAGGUAGGAAUACCCGCUGAACUUAAGCAUAUCAAUA